This 253-nucleotide ribosomal RNA is filed under the name uncultured bacterium. Its description in RNAcentral is "partial 16S ribosomal RNA". It matches the Rfam family "Bacterial small subunit ribosomal RNA", at positions 524 to 776 of the family's 1533-position model. The record is from RNAcentral.
UACAGAGACUGCAAGCGUUAUUCGGAUUCACUGGGCGUAAAGGGUGCGCAGGCGGUUGGGUGUGUCAGAUGUGAAAUCCCGAGGCUUAACCUCGGAACUGCGUCUGAAACUACUCGACUAGAGUACUGGAGAGGGUAACGGAAUUCACGGUGUAGCAGUGAAAUGCGUAGAUAUCAGGAGGAAUACCGAUGGCGAAGGCAGGUCUCUGGGCUGACACUGACGCUCAUGCACGAAAGCGUGGGGAGCAAACAGG